AUUGAACGCUGGCGGAAUGCUUUACACAUGCAAGUCGAACGGCAGCACGGGUGCUUGCACCUGGUGGCGAGUGGCGAACGGGUGAGUAAUACAUCGGAACGUACCCAGUUGUGGGGGAUAACGAGUCGAAAGAUUCGCUAAUACCGCAUACGACCUGAGGGUGAAAGCGGGGGACCGUAAGGCCUCGCGCAAUUGGAGCGGCCGAUGUCUGAUUAGCUAGUUGGUGGGGUAAAGGCUCACCAAGGCGACGAUCAGUAGCUGGUCUGAGAGGAUGAUCAGCCACACUGGAACUGAGACACGGUCCAGACUCCUACGGGAGGCAGCAGUGGGGAAUUUUGGACAAUGGGGGAAACCCUGAUCCAGCCAUUCCGCGUGAGUGAAGAAGGCCUUCGGGUUGUAAAGCUCUUUCGGCAGGGAAGAAACGCUCUGGCUUAAUACGCCGGGGUAAUGACGGUACCUGAAGAAGAAGCACCGGCUAACUACGUG
Molecule: ribosomal RNA, 486 nt
Filed under: uncultured organism
Description: bacterial SSU rRNA
Rfam family: Bacterial small subunit ribosomal RNA
Source: RNAcentral